AGUGAACGCUGGCGGUAGGCCUAACACAUGCGAGUCGAACGGCAGCACAGUAAGAGCUUGCUCUUACGGGUGGCGAGUGGCGGACGGGUGAGGAAUACAUCGGAAUCUACUUUUUCGUGGGGGAUAACGUAGGGAAACUUACGCUAAUACCGCAUACGACCUACGGGUGAAAGCAGGGGAUCUUCGGACCUUGCGCGAUUGAAUGAGCCGAUGUCGCAUUAGCUAGUUGGCGAGGUAAAGGCCCACCAAGGCGACGAUCCGUAGCUGGUCUGAGAGGAUGAUCAGCCACACUGGAACUGAGACACGGUCCAGACUCCUACGGGAGGCAGCAGUGGGGAAUAUUGGGCAAUGGGCGCAAGCCUGAUCCAGCCAUACCGCGUGGGUGAAGAAGGCCUUCGGGUUGUAAAGCCCUUUUGUUGGGAAAGAAAAGCAGCAGAUGAAUACCCCGCUGUUCUGACGGUACCCAAAGAAUAAGCACCGGCUAACUUCGUG
Molecule: ribosomal RNA, 492 nt
Filed under: uncultured bacterium
Lineage: Bacteria
Description: partial 16S ribosomal RNA
Rfam family: Bacterial small subunit ribosomal RNA
Source: RNAcentral